AAAAUUGAGACAACUUGCAGGUCGCCAUUUUAAUUCAAGCUUCCAACAAGACCGAGGCCCACUUGCAGUCCUUUCAAGGCCGGGUGGGUUAGGGUGGGGGAAUUGCGCUUUAGGUUUCGGUGUCGCCUUUCUCCUCCACUCCCGCUGCUCUCACCGCCCCCCGCCCCUUGGAGCCGGAGGAGGACCUCUUUUCCGCCUGUCCACGGCAGCAGGGGCUGCUCCAGUUGUCCCACCCGGUAACUGGAGACUGUCGUGCCGAGGGAGUCGGUGCCCACACUGGGGGAUCGUGGCUAGCUGCGAGAGUGCUCAGAGUGCCUCUCCUCCGUAUUAGUCCCAGCCCUUUGCCUGUGUCCACCCCAUAAAGUUCCGGGUCCCGGGGCGUCCUCUGUCCAGGCAAAAGAGUGUCCAGCACUCUGGGGGGUAUAUUUUCGGCUCCCAGUUUCGGAACCAAGAAUCUCCCACCCAGUGGUCGAAACCUUCAAACUCUUGCUUUCACUUAGCCAAGCUGACAGGCACGGUGCAGGCGCGCUGGAAAUGGUAAAGCCUGGAAUUUUUUGAUAGAAAGUCUCUACAAACGUCUGCAUCACUUUGCAUAGCUCUAAACGUCUCCAUCUGCAGACCCUGGGAAAAAUGGGUUCCUUGGUUGGCGGAACUGACAAACCGGUCAAACCAUCACCAAAGGCAAAGGCCUCUCACCCCGGCCCCCCCAGUCCGGGGUGCUUCCUUGUUUCAGGCCUUUCUCCUCUUUUCCCCAGCAACCUGCCGGGUUUCCACCCCCCCCCCUGCAGUCUGGCCAAGUCCACAGCUUAGGGAAGCCGAGGGGAUCCCAGAGACCUCCCUGCGGCGCCUCCAAGCUGUGUCCACGCUUGGCUGAAGGAAGCUAGGUGCCCUCGUCCUUCCUGCCAAAUGGUUGGUGCGUUAGGGGGCUCUCUGGGACCGGUCCUCUUUCCGUUUAUACUGGUCGGCAAGUAUCUCUCCCGGUCCAUGUCCCCCCUUUAAAACAACAUUGUCCAGCUGGGUGUCCCAGAAAAGAGAUUUCUUAAAGUCCGUGGAUCUGACUCCCAACACUGCCUCCCGGACUCUACAUGUAGUUGUCUAGAUAGGGACAGAUUAAAGCUCAUCAGAUUUAGGGCCCUUGAAAACAGCAGCACUCUGGGAUUCUUAGAAAUAGGGUUACCUAGCAAAGUCUGCUUUCCAUUUCCUCACCUUGAGUGGAUCCCUCAACACUCCUUUCCCUGUUACCUUCGCCACCCCCCCCCCAAAAAAAAAGCUAGAGUUCAGCUUCAAAAAGAAAAGCAAGCCAAGGUCUCUUCUCCCAAGAGAUUUGCUCUCCAAACCCUCUUCCAAAGGCCAGACCAAGUCCUGUAAUUUGUCCAGUCUUGGAUCUAGGAACCUGCCGACCAGGAACUGAGGGCUCUGGGGCUGGGGAGCAGGAAAGAGCAAAUGUCAUGGCUGGCUCAUUCCAGCAACCGGGAACCAGAGCUGAGGACAUCCUGACGAGGCUUUUAAAAUGACAUUGAUUGGGACAAGCUGUUCCCAACAGCAGAAAGAGUUAAUCUUCCUGUUAAUCAAGGCACUAAGGGGCUCAAUGCGAGUUUUAUUAGCGACUGAAGAACAGAGGCGGCAAGCGAGGGAUCAAAAGCUGGGAUCCCAGAUAUUUUGUCAGCGCGUGCUCUCCAGGAAAAAAAAAAAAUGUAUUUUCAAUUAGAGAACAAUUCGGCACUUUUCAUCAUUUCCUAACCCAGCCACACAGAUGGUGACUUACAAACCUGGCGAGAGGGGAAAACUCGAUGCCCAGGGGGCAGCCAGGGGACCAAGGGGCGGGGAGGAGGUGAGGGUAGCCUCUUCGGAGUUCGGCGGGGAGAAUUUAAGAACCCUCAGUCGGGGGCCCAGAAGCCUCCAAUUCCUUCAGAGUGGAAAGAUGAUGAAAAGUGAAGCAACAGACACAACCACUAAUAUCCUCAUCCAUUCCUCCAGGUCAGCGCCCUACUCCCCAGGCGCGAGUGGAGUCCAGACCCCUCGCGCCACGGCCCCACCGACUGGAAACUUUGCGCAGAGAAAGAGACUCUCCUCCCUUCUCUCCCGCGCUGCCCCCUUCUGCCCCGGAGGGGCGUUGGAUUCCCUUCGGUUUUCCUUUCAAAUUCUAAAAAAAAAUAAACUCCCGGGCCGUGAGGAAAUCUGAAUAGCACCCCCUCCAAUAAUCCAAAUUAUAUGAGAGGAUCUGAAGGAAAAAAGACCAACCACAUACAUCCUCCCAUCGAGGAGGGCACCGGAGUGAGAAGGCAACAGAGGAGGUCCCUGGCUUGCCCUGAGCGCAGGGCGAGGACUCUGGUCAGAGGUAAUUAUGUCACCGCGUUUUCUCGCCGUGACAGCCGAAUAAACACAAUCUCCAAUAAACAUCUCUAAUGAGGGAGGAGGCCCGAGGAUGGCUGGGUUUGAUUUAUGACUGGAGGACAAGGUCCACUUCCCACUGCGAAGCAGGCAACCUGCUCAUCGCCCGGCUCUGGGGAAAGGAAUCUAUGGAGGAAAGGACCCCGACCCAGGAAGAACUUGGACUCAGUGAAUCUUCCUUUCUGAAGCUGCCUGCCCACCUCACACAGAGACUAAGAAAAGCUUUGAGUUGGAGAAGGGCUGGGGAUUGAACCCAGGGCCUUGUAUACGGGAGAUAAACACUCUACCAAUUGAGCUAUAUCCCCAGCCCACAAAUCCGAAUUUUAUGCUCUGUACAAGCACAUCUCAAGGCAGAGGAGUAAAAAAGGAAGAAGAAGAAAAAAAGCCGACAUCUUAGCAUGAAAUUCUGGCCCAUUGAGACCCUGCAGAGAAGAUAAUAACAGCUAUCAACCACUGUUGCUCCGGCUCCUUUCACCUGAAGCAGAGACUUCCCAGGCUGCAGGGAGACUGAUGUGUGGGAUAUGAAGUGGGUGGCAGGGCUGGGCCUUGCAUGCUUUCCUGACUUGGUUGGUUCAUGGCCUCCAGGACAGAAGGAGUGCAACUAUUAGAACAGAAACGCCUGUGAAUUACAGUGGCCAGGGUCAAUGAUUUGUUGUGACACAUAGGAUGCUUCCUAGAGUCCAUAUUAUUAAAUUAGACAAUUAUUAAAAUUAGACAUUUUAGCACAAUUUUAUCCAAUUGUGAAAACAUUACAGGCAAUGUUUUUUUGCCAAGGGUCAGAUUGUAACUAUUUUCAGUAGGUAGGCAGUCUCCAUCAGAAUUAUUCAUCUCUGCCUUUUUCAUAUCAAAAGCAGCUACAGGCAGUACAUAAAUGAGUGGACAUGGCUGUGUUCCAACGUAACUUUUUUUACAAAAGGCAGUCCAGAUUGGGCCCGAGGGCCAUGCCUUUGAUUGAAAUUUCAAUCCGUGUUUUUGUUCUGUUAUGAUUGACAGUCUCGAAGACUACAGUUAUUUUGUGGAAAGUCCUUCAGUUGGUUUUCACUAGCAUUUCUUCACGAUUAAAUUUAAGUUAUAUAAUUUUGGCAGGAAUAUCCCAGAAGUGAUGUUGGGCCCUAUCAGCACAUCACAGUAGGAGGCACAGGGUGCGGCUUGGUCCCAUUAUUGAUGUUGAACCAGAUACUAUUUAAAAUGAGGGAUUUGAGCAGUUUCAAACACAGUAAGAAGUAACUCCACCGACAGGAGCAGAGUGAACUGGGCGAGGAAAAGCAGCAUCCGAGCCUGGCUAGAGCACAAAAUGUAUGGAUAGGAAUAACUAUCAGUAACAAUAAUGAGGUAUUAUUUAUUGAACACAAGUUUUAUUUAUUUAUUUAUUUAAUUUUUUUUAGUUGUUGAUGGAUCUUUAUUUA
This is a long non-coding RNA of Ictidomys tridecemlineatus (thirteen-lined ground squirrel), 3797 nucleotides long. RefSeq lists it as uncharacterized. The record is from RefSeq and is a predicted model, not a curated record. Lineage: Eukaryota; Metazoa; Chordata; Mammalia; Rodentia; Sciuridae.